This 376-nucleotide ribosomal RNA is filed under the name uncultured bacterium. RNAcentral's name for it is "bacterial SSU rRNA". It matches the Rfam family "Bacterial small subunit ribosomal RNA", at positions 29 to 433 of the family's 1533-position model. The record is from RNAcentral.
AACGAACGCUGGCGGCAGGCCUAACACAUGCAAGUCGAACGCUCCAGCAAUGGAGAGUGGCAGACGGGUGAGUAACGCGUGGGAACCUUCCCUAUGGUUCGGAAUAGCUCAGGGAAACUUGAGGUAAUACCGGAUAAGCCCUUCGGGGAAAGGAUUAUCGCCAUUGGAUGGGCCCGCGUAGGAUUAGCUAGUUGGUGAGGUAACGGCUCACCAAGGCGACGAUCCUUAGCUGGCUGAGAGGAUGAUCAGCCACACUGGGACUGAGACACGGCCCAGACUCCUACGGGAGGCAGCAGUGGGGAAUAUUGGACAAUGGGCGGCAAGCCUGAUCCAGCCAUGCCGCGUGAGUGACGAAGGCCUUAGGGUUGUAAAGCUC